Long non-coding RNA from Solenopsis invicta (red fire ant), 710 nucleotides. RefSeq lists it as uncharacterized. The transcript is spliced from 3 exons. The record is from RefSeq and is a predicted model, not a curated record. Lineage: Eukaryota; Metazoa; Arthropoda; Insecta; Hymenoptera; Formicidae.
UCUCUCGCGGACCACUCGGGACCCAUCGACGACGAUGCACACGUCCACGAUGAUUUCGGCGUUGCGUAACGUGGAGAAGAGGCCAACCCGGCCCGUUUGCGAUUACCCGCCCCCUGCUCGCUCGCCCGCUCUGCUCGAAACAACACCGGAGCCGGCACGGGCGGGCGGAUGUACGAUUGGCAUUGUAUCUAAUCUCCGCGGCUGCAACGCACGAGGAGUAAAUAUUCUGUAUCCCAGAAGGGGAUACUUUCGGUGCGUAUCGACGUAUCGGCUAUUAAUACCGUUCGUUCGGUUAGUGCUAUCCGCAGUCUCCGAUCGCUCGACAAUAAACCGCCCGUCCUCCCACUCGAAAAUAAUCCGGAAGGAUCUCUCCCGCGCGAAGAGUGAAGAUCACUGGGGUCGAAGAAGUCGAGAGGAGGAGACAUGCGGUUCCGAUCGCCGACGUUUCUGCUCCUCUGCGCCGUUUCGCUCGCGACGGCGCAGGAAAUCGGCGAGUGUCAAGAGGGUGCCGACGACGAAUUGCUCUGGGAAUAUGGCGUCAGGAGACCGCAUCGAAUCGGUGGUUAUCAAUAGGAGGUGGAAGAGGAUUACGGGCCGACGGACGCGAGGAUCACGUGCAUACGUUUCAACUCGCUGUCCGACGAGGAUAACGACGCGGCGUGGGUCACCGCCGGCGGAAUCGGCCACAACUUCGUCAAAGUCAAGUUCAG